RNAcentral lists this ribosomal RNA (603 nucleotides) under Campylomormyrus tamandua. Its description in RNAcentral is "partial 16S ribosomal RNA". It matches the Rfam family "Bacterial large subunit ribosomal RNA", at positions 1817 to 2597 of the family's 2925-position model. The record is from RNAcentral. Lineage: Eukaryota; Metazoa; Chordata; Actinopteri; Osteoglossiformes; Mormyridae.
GGCCUCUUGUAAUCCACAAAUAAGAGGUCCAACCUGCCCAGUGACGAUAAGUUCAACGGCCGCGGUAUUUUAACCGUGCUAAGGUAGCGUAAUCACUUGUCUUUUAAAUGAAGACCCGUAUGAAAGGUGUCACGAGGGCCCGCCUGUCUCCUACUUCAAGUCUGUGAAAUUGAUCUGCCCGUGCAGAAGCGGGCAUAACAACAUAAGACGAGAAGACCCUGUGGAGCUUAAGACCAAUCAAUCAACCGUGCCUAACAGCCAAUCCACCCUACAGGAAAUAAAAAGCUACAAGCAUAACGAAUUGUGAUUAAAUGUCUUCGGUUGGGGCGACCAUGGAGGAUAGAAAAGCCUCCAAGAGGAAACAGGGGACCAGCUAAAUUGAUCCCUAAGAGCUAAGAGCCACCCCUCUAAGCAACAGAAAACUCUGACCAAUAAUGAUCCAGGCACUAGCCUGAUCAACGAACCAAGUUACCCCAGGGAUAACAGCGCAAUCCUUUCUCAGAGCCCAUAUCGCCGAAAGGGUUUACGACCUCGAUGUUGGAUCAGGACAUCCUGGUGGCGAAAAUUCUACCAAGGGUUCGUUUGUUCAACGAUUAAAGUCCU